UUCUAAUACCCGAUUUACAAUUACAUUGAACUACAAGGAUCCCCUCACUGGAGAUGAAGAGACCUUGGCUUCAUAUGGGAUUGUUUCUGGGGACUUGAUAUGUUUGAUUCUUCAAGAUGACAUUCCAGCGCCUAAUAUACCUUCAUCCACAGAUUCAGAGCAUUCUUCACUCCAGAAUAAUGAGCAACCCUCUUUGGCCACCAGCUCCAAUCAGACUAGCAUGCAGGAUGAACAACCAAGUGAUUCAUUCCAAGGACAGGCAGCCCAGUCUGGUGUUUGGAAUGACGACAGUAUG
Molecule: non-coding RNA, 295 nt
Filed under: Homo sapiens (human)
Lineage: Eukaryota; Metazoa; Chordata; Mammalia; Primates; Hominidae
Source: RNAcentral